RNAcentral lists this ribosomal RNA (301 nucleotides) under uncultured bacterium. RNAcentral describes it as "partial 16S ribosomal RNA". It matches the Rfam family "Bacterial small subunit ribosomal RNA", at positions 509 to 809 of the family's 1533-position model. The record is from RNAcentral.
CAGUAGCCGCGGUAAUACGUAGGGUGCGAGCGUUAAUCGGAAUUACUGGGCGUAAAGCGUGCGCAGGCGGUUUUGUAAGACAGAGGUGAAAUCCCCGGGCUCAACCUGGGAACUGCCUUUGUGACUGCAAGGCUAGAGUACGGCAGAGGGGGAUGGAAUUCCGCGUGUAGCAGUGAAAUGCGUAGAUAUGCGGAGGAACACCGAUGGCGAAGGCAAUCCCCUGGGCCUGUACUGACGCUCAUGCACGAAAGCGUGGGGAGCAAACAGGAUUAGAUACCCCUGUAGUCCCUGUCUCUUAUAA